GACGAACGCUGGCGGCGUGCUUAACACAUGCAAGUCGAACGGAAAGGCCCUGAGUUUGCUCCUCGCUCGUUAGCCGAGCACGUGAGUAACACGUGAGGAUCACCCACCUGUCUGAGUGGGAACAUCACGGGAAUCCGGAGCUAAUCCCGUAGAAGAUCUUGAUCCGUGGGGGUCGAUGGAAAAAGUCGGUGGUGGUGGAACGACUCGCGGGGUAUUGGCUGGUUGGUGGGGUAGCUGCUUACUAAGGCUACGAUGGGUAGCCGACGUAGGAGGGCGGUCGCCCACACUGGAACUGAGACGCGGUCCAGGCUCCUACGGGAGGCAGCAGUAGGGAACGGGCGGCAAUGGGGGGAAGCCUGACGGAGCAGCGCCGCGUGAGUGAUGAAGGUCCUCGGAUCGGAAAACUGUGUUAUGGGUGAAGAACAAAUUUGGAAGUAACUAAGCACGUCGUGACGGUACCUAAUCAGAAAGCAACGGCUAACUACGUG
Molecule: ribosomal RNA, 488 nt
Filed under: uncultured bacterium
Lineage: Bacteria
Description: partial 16S ribosomal RNA
Rfam family: Bacterial small subunit ribosomal RNA
Source: RNAcentral